This 382-nucleotide ribosomal RNA is filed under the name uncultured Oribacterium sp. RNAcentral describes it as "bacterial SSU rRNA". It matches the Rfam family "Bacterial small subunit ribosomal RNA", at positions 355 to 755 of the family's 1533-position model. Lineage: Bacteria; Bacillati; Bacillota; Clostridia; Lachnospirales; Lachnospiraceae. The record is from RNAcentral.
UGGGGAAUAUUGCACAAUGGAGGAAACUCUGAUGCAGCGACGCCGCGUGAGCGAUGAAGUAUUUCGGUAUGUAAAGCUCUAUCAGCAGGGAAGAUAAUGACGGUACCUGAGUAAGAAGCUCCGGCUAAAUACGUGCCAGCAGCCGCGGUAAUACGUAUGGAGCAAGCGUUAUCCGGAUUUACUGGGUGUAAAGGGAGUGUAGGCGGAACGGCAAGUUUGAAGUGAAAUACCCGGGCUUAACCGGGAACUGCUUUGAAAACUGUCGAUCUAGAGUGUCGGAGAGGUAAGUGGAAUUCCUGGUGUAGUAGUGAAAUGCGUAGAUAUCAGGAAGAACACCGGAGGCGAAGGCGGCUUACUGGACGAUAACUGACGUUGAGGCUCG